UGAAAAGACUGAGAGAUGAUCUACAUGUGU
This 30-nucleotide non-coding RNA is filed under the name Mus musculus (house mouse). The record is from RNAcentral. Lineage: Eukaryota; Metazoa; Chordata; Mammalia; Rodentia; Muridae.